This 497-nucleotide ribosomal RNA is filed under the name uncultured bacterium. RNAcentral's name for it is "partial 16S ribosomal RNA". It matches the Rfam family "Bacterial small subunit ribosomal RNA", at positions 28 to 507 of the family's 1533-position model. The record is from RNAcentral.
GAUGAACGCUGGCGGCGUGCCUAAUACAUGCAAGUCGAGCGAACAGACGAGGAGCUUGCUCCUCUGACGUUAGCGGCGGACGGGUGAGUAACACGUGGAUAACCUACCUAUAAGACUGGGAUAACUUCGGGAAACCGGAGCUAAUACCGGAUAAUAUAUUGAACCGCAUGGUUCAAUAGUGAAAGACGGUUUUGCUGUCACUUAUAGAUGGAUCCGCGCCGCAUUAGCUAGUUGGUAAGGUAACGGCUUACCAAGGCGACGAGGCGUAGCCGACCUGAGAGGGUGAUCGGCCACACUGGAACUGAGACACGGUCCAGACUCCUACGGGAGGCAGCAGUAGGGAAUCUUCCGCAAUGGGCGAAAGCCUGACGGAGCAACGCCGCGUGAGUGAUGAAGGUCUUCGGAUCGUAAAACUCUGUUAUUAGGGAAGAACAAAUGUGUAAGUAACUAUGCACGUCUUGACGGUACCUAAUCAGAAAGCCACGGCUAACUACGUG